Molecule: ribosomal RNA, 493 nt
Filed under: uncultured bacterium
Lineage: Bacteria
Description: partial 16S ribosomal RNA
Rfam family: Bacterial small subunit ribosomal RNA
Source: RNAcentral
GACGAACGCUGGCGGCGUGCUUAACACAUGCAAGUCGAACGCUGAAGCCCUUUCGGGGGUGGAUGAGUGGCGAACGGGUGAGUAACACGUGGGUAAUCUGCCCUGUACUUCGGGAUAAGCCUUGGAAACGGGGUCUAAUACCGGAUAGGACCUGUCCUCGCAUGGGGGUGGGUGGAAAGUUCCGGCGGUAUGGGAUGAGCCCGCGGCCUAUCAGCUUGUUGGUGGGGUAGUGGCCUACCAAGGCGACGACGGGUAGCCGGCCUGAGAGGGUGACCGGUCACACUGGGACUGAGACACGGCCCAGACUGCUACGGGAGGCAGCAGUGGGGAAUCUUGCGCAAUGGGGGAAAGCCUGACGCAGCAACGCCGCGUGGGGGAUGACGGCCUUCGGGUUGUAAACCUCUUUCGACAUCGACGAAGGGGCCCUGUUGUGGGGUUUUGACGGUAGGUGUAGAAGAAGCACCGGCUAACUACGUGCCAGCAGCCGCCGUAA